AAGGCAUUUAUUAUUUAGUCUCCCAGACCAGAAUCAAACGUAAAACAAGAGGAACCAAAUUAAGCCUUUACUGGGCUUAAAAACUUGACUCACAGAGAAUCAAAAUAGCCCCUUGCUGGAGUGCGCCAAGACAAAACAAAUGACCAGGGAAAAACCACAAAAGUAGACUUUUCGUUAAAAAAAAGAGAACAAUGUUUAUUGGUGGGAUUUUCUUUUGGAUAUGUACAAUACUAGUGCAUGAGCAUUAUGCUGACAAAAAAUUCCAAACAUCACAAAGUUACUUCCAAAGCCUGGAAGUCCAAACAGCGAAGUCCUUAGUCUGAAACUAAGUCAACAGAAACAAGUCAAUAGUGGCUUUUUGUGUUUUUGUUCUUUUUUUUUUUUUAAACAACAAAGUACCUGCCAGAAUGACUGUGCAAAGACCUGACACGUAAUAACCCGCAGUGAGAUGUACAGAAAUCCAUAAGACAACAUAGAAUUUACACAAGAUAACAAGGUAAAUAUUUGUAUAAGAACUUCCUCCAAAAGUGGAAGCAUGUGAUAGCUGGCUAGUUUGGGAGGGGGGAAAAAGCUGGAAAAUACUAGCACGGGAUGCCCUCAAUUCAUAGUCUACAUUCACAGCAAAUGUCAAGUCUUCUAGCUCCGAUGGCUGCCAGUAUCCAGCCUCCCAUCCGCAAUUAAUCCCUUUAUCAUCCUGAUAUAAUAAAAAUACAUUUAAUCCAAACUUCUCGUUCCAUUUUCUCUCUGCUGUAGUUCUUGUCAACUUGCAUUAUACAAAUAUAACACAAACUGAGACAUACCCUCAGGAAAAAAGAAACACUCACACAGUUUCCCAGCAUGAGCCAGAUUAAUCACAGCUAAUCAUUUCAAUACUAAGCGAUGAUACACAUAACAUCAUAUAAACCCCAUUAAGCAAAUUCUGUGGCGAUAACUCUUGACGGAGGUGAGGGAAGAGAGAAGUAAUUGUCAAAAAAUUAAGCACUGAAUGUAUCCUGGUGCUCUAACAUACUUUCUUUCACUGUUUGGCUGUAGCCUGCGUCUUACUUAUCCAGAAACAGUGCGAAGCACAGAGAAGAGCUAACAAGCCUUGUGCAUAUGCCUGAUCUCUACAGUGAAUUCUCCAGCUAAUACGAUGGUAAUUUGGUGUUUAAAAACUGUUUUCCUUCCAUUGUUACCCAUGAAUACUCUUCUCUAGGCUGCUAAACAGACUGUAGAUCAGAUAAAAGUGGUUUCUGCAUCCCUGAAUGCCAGCGCUUCACCCACCCAUUGGCGUCUGCAUUGCGUCUCCUGUCCUUGCACCAUGUACUAUCUUCACGAAUUGUUAAGGAUUUGGGGUGCAGCCUCUAGCAGAAGGAUUACUAAAUCUAGCCAACUAACAGUGGAGUGAAAAGCGUCUGUGUCUCUCAGCUUGUGAUACUCAUGGGAGCAGACUUACCCGUUUCAAAAAGCCACCAGUCUCAAAGGGCUAUAAACAUGCAUAAAAUGAGCAAGAUUUCUCUCUUUCUAGCUACCAACCUGUUUCCAGGACAGUCUCUUUUGUUUCUGAGCACUUUAAAGGCUGCAGGCUUUGCUAGUCAGGCAAAUGCUGCGUCCGUCACCCAUCGCUUUUGUGUCUUCAGUCUGUCUGCUGCCUCGCUCCUUCCCCUUUCUCAUGCACACAUUCGGGAGAAGAGCAUGACAUUUUGAUAGUUUGAAAAUUACCUUGGUUUCAUCAGGUUUUCUGGCUUCUGUGCCUGACAAAGUUUACAUUUCCUAAUGGCUCAGUAGAUAUCUUUUAAGGCUCCCAAUGAAGGGUAAGCAUGGUGGGCAAAAAUCGGUUUCUUACGCUUGCUGUAUAUUGUGACCAUAACGGGUGAAUGGCAGUGAGCGUGCAAGCUUGGAUGGACUUAUUUCUCCGUUUGAGUCUCUAAGAGAGAGCCUAGUGUUUUGCUGUAAGUGAAUUCAGCACUUGCUUUGACAGCCCAGUUUGUGCCUGUACAAUAAACAGCACAGGUAAGUUUACACAGCACAC
Gavialis gangeticus (Gharial) is the source of this 2011-nucleotide long non-coding RNA. RefSeq lists it as uncharacterized. The record is from RefSeq and is a predicted model, not a curated record. Lineage: Eukaryota; Metazoa; Chordata; Crocodylia; Gavialidae. The transcript is spliced from 3 exons.